This 273-nucleotide ribosomal RNA is filed under the name uncultured bacterium. Its description in RNAcentral is "partial 16S ribosomal RNA". It matches the Rfam family "Bacterial small subunit ribosomal RNA", at positions 793 to 1055 of the family's 1533-position model. The record is from RNAcentral.
GUCCACGCUGUCAAAGAUGAAUGCUAAUACUAGGAAUUUUCUGGUGUAAAGUAAACACGUUAAGCAUUCCGCCUGGGAAGUACGAUCGCAAGAUUGGAACUCAAAGGAAUUGACGGGGGUCUACACAAGUGGUGGAGCAUGUGGUUUUAAUGCGAUAAUACACGCGAAAUCUUACCAGUUCUUGAAUAUAACUUUAAUAGCUUUAAUAAGGUUAUUAUUUAAAAAGUAUAAUACUUUCAUAAAUAAGUUAUACAGGUGUUGCAUGGCUGUAGU